CCUACGGGAGGCAGCAGUGAGGAAUAUUGGUCAAUGGGCGUAAGCCUGAACCAGCCAAGUCGCGUGAGGGAUGAAGGUUCUAUGGAUCGUAAACCUCUUUUAUAAGGGAAUAAAGUGCGGGACGUGUCCAGUUUUGUAUGUACCUUAUGAAUAAGGAUCGGCUAACUACGUGCCAGCAGCCGCGGUAAUACGGAGGAUCCGAGCGUUAUCCGGAAUUAUUGGGUUUAAGGGGUGCGUAGGCGGCCUUUUAAGUCAGCGGUGAAAGUCUGUGGCUCAACCAUAGAAUGGCCGUUGAAACUGGUGGGCUUGAGUAUGUUUGGGGCAGGCGGAAUGCGUGGUGUAGCGGUGAAAUGCUUAGAUAUCACUCAGAACCCCGAUUGCGAAGGCAGCCUGCCAAGCCAUGACUGACGCUGAUGCACGAAAGCGUGGGGAUCAAACAGGAUUAGAUACCCGAGUAGUC
RNAcentral lists this ribosomal RNA (460 nucleotides) under uncultured bacterium. RNAcentral describes it as "partial 16S ribosomal RNA". It matches the Rfam family "Bacterial small subunit ribosomal RNA", at positions 338 to 795 of the family's 1533-position model. The record is from RNAcentral.